GACGUAGGGCGCGAGCGUUGUCCGGAUUUAUUGGGCGUAAAGAGCUCGUAGGCGGCUUGUUGCGUCGACUGUGAAAACCCGCGGCUUAACUGCGGGCUUGCAGUUGAUACGGGCAGGCUAGAGUUCGGUAGGGGAGACUGGAAUUCCUGGUGUAGCGGUGAAAUGCGCAGAUAUCAGGAGGAACACCGAUGGCGAAGGCAGGUCUCUGGGCCACUACUGACGCUGAGAAGCGAAAGCGUGGGGAGCGAACAGG
Molecule: ribosomal RNA, 253 nt
Filed under: uncultured bacterium
Lineage: Bacteria
Description: partial 16S ribosomal RNA
Rfam family: Bacterial small subunit ribosomal RNA
Source: RNAcentral